RNAcentral lists this ribosomal RNA (496 nucleotides) under uncultured bacterium. Its description in RNAcentral is "partial 16S ribosomal RNA". It matches the Rfam family "Bacterial small subunit ribosomal RNA", at positions 29 to 507 of the family's 1533-position model. The record is from RNAcentral.
AUGAACGCUGGCGGCGUGCCUAAUACAUGCAAGUCGAGCGAACGGACGAGAAGCUUGCUUCUCUGAUGUUAGCGGCGGACGGGUGAGUAACACGUGGAUAACCUACCUAUAAGACUGGGAUAACUUCGGGAAACCGGAGCUAAUACCGGAUAAUAUUUUGAACCGCAUGGUUCAAAAGUGAAAGACGGUCUUGCUGUCACUUAUAGAUGGAUCCGCGCUGCAUUAGCUAGUUGGUAAGGUAACGGCUUACCAAGGCAACGAUGCAUAGCCGACCUGAGAGGGUGAUCGGCCACACUGGAACGGAGACACGGUCCAGACUCCUACGGGAGGCAGCAGUAGGGAAUCUUCCGCAAUGGGCGAAAGCCUGACGGAGCAACGCCGCGUGAGUGAUGCAGGUCUUCGGAUCGUAAAACUCUGUUAUUAGGGAAGAACAUAUGUGUAAGUAACUGUGCACAUCUUGACGGUACCUAAUCAGAAAGCCACGGCUAACUACGUG